RNAcentral lists this transfer RNA (78 nucleotides) under Colletotrichum trifolii. It matches the Rfam family "tRNA". Rfam says of the family: Transfer RNA (tRNA) molecules are approximately 80 nucleotides in length. RNAcentral also lists the same sequence under 1 other name. Lineage: Eukaryota; Fungi; Ascomycota; Sordariomycetes; Glomerellales; Glomerellaceae. The record is from Rfam by way of RNAcentral.
GCGCCAAUGGUGUAGUGGUAACAUUAAAGCUUCCCAACAGGUCUGCUUUAGCCAGGGGUUCGAUUCCCCUUUGGCGCA